GACGAACGCUGGCGGCGUGCUUAACACAUGCAAGUCGAACGGAGUGGCGAACGGGUGAGUAACACGUGAGUAACCUGCCCUUGACUUUGGGAUAACUUCAGGAAACUGGGGCUAAUACCGGAUAGUUGGGGAUGGACUCGCGGCUUAUCAGCUUGUUGGUGGGGUAGUGGCUUACCAAGGCUUUGACGGGUAGCCGGCCUGAGAGGGUGACCGGCCACAUUGGGACUGAGAUACGGCCCAGACUCCUACGAGAGGCAGCAGUGGGGAAUAUUGCACAAUGGGCGGAAGCCUGAUGCAGCAACGCCGCGUGCGGGAUGACGGCCUUCGGGUUGUAAACCGCUUUCGCCUGUGACGCGGUAAUGGGUAAAGAAGCACCGGCUAACUACGUGCCAGCAGCCGCGGUGAUACGUAGGGUGCGAGCGUUGUCCGGAUUUAUUGGGCGUAAAGGGCUCGUAGGUGGUUGAUCGCGUCGGAAGUGUAAUCUUGGGGCUUAACCCUGAGCGUGCUUUCGAUACGGGUUGACUUGAGGAAGGUAGGGGAGAAUGGAAUUCCUGGUGGAGCGGUGGAAUGCGCAGAUAUC
This 580-nucleotide ribosomal RNA is filed under the name uncultured bacterium. Its description in RNAcentral is "bacterial SSU rRNA". It matches the Rfam family "Bacterial small subunit ribosomal RNA", at positions 28 to 698 of the family's 1533-position model. The record is from RNAcentral.